This 342-nucleotide unclassified non-coding RNA is filed under the name soil metagenome. RNAcentral describes it as "partial contains 5.8S ribosomal RNA, internal transcribed spacer 2, and large subunit ribosomal RNA". The stretch from base 1 to 120 matches the Rfam family "5.8S ribosomal RNA", at positions 35 to 154 of the family's 154-position model. The record is from RNAcentral.
GAUGAAGAACGUAGCGAAAUGCGAUAAGUAGUGUGAAUUGCAGAAUUCAGUGAAUCAUCGAAUCUUUGAACGCACAUUGCGCCUCCUGGCAUUCCGGGAGGCAUGCCUGUUCGAGCGUCAUUAAAAACCACUCAAGCUUCUAUGCUUGGUCUUGGAUGAUGAGGGUGGAAACUCCCUCAGCUCCGAAUUGCAAUGGCGGAUUUCCUCACGAGUCCCGGCGUAGUAAGUUCAUCUUGUCGCCUCGUCCCGUGACGGAUCCUGCCGCAAACUCCAAUCACUCCAGGUUGACCUCGGAUCAGGUAGGGAUACCCGCUGAACUUAAGCAUAUCAAUAAGCGGAGGA